Pteropus alecto (black flying fox) is the source of this 119-nucleotide non-coding RNA. NCBI's taxonomy places the organism in Eukaryota, Metazoa, Chordata, Mammalia, Chiroptera, Pteropodidae. The record is from Rfam.
GUUUACAGCCAUACCACUCUGAGCGUGCUCGAUCCCGUCUGAUCUCGGAAGCUAAGCAAGGUCGGGCCUGGUUAGUACUUGGAUGGGAGACCAUCUAGGAAUACCAGGUGCUGUAGGCG